RNAcentral lists this ribosomal RNA (254 nucleotides) under uncultured bacterium. RNAcentral describes it as "partial 16S ribosomal RNA". It matches the Rfam family "Bacterial small subunit ribosomal RNA", at positions 524 to 776 of the family's 1533-position model. The record is from RNAcentral.
UACGUAGGGCCCGAGCGUUAUCCGGUAUUAUUGGGCGUAAAGAGUGCGUAGGCGGUUCGGUAAGACAAUGGUUAAAAUUCCCGGGCUCAACCCGGGGCCAGCCGUUGUUACUGCCAAACUAGUCGAUAGCAGGGGCAAGCAGAAUUCUCGGUGUAGGAGUGAAAUCCGUUGAGAUCGAGAGGAAUACCAAUGGCGAAGGCAGCUUGCUAGGCUAUAUGAGACGCUGAGGCACGAAAGCGUGGGGAGCGAACGGG